RNAcentral lists this long non-coding RNA (517 nucleotides) under Mus musculus (house mouse). Its description in RNAcentral is "predicted gene, 56858". The record is from RNAcentral. Lineage: Eukaryota; Metazoa; Chordata; Mammalia; Rodentia; Muridae.
CUGUGAGUAGUUGCUCCCUCUGUCUGUGGAGUGGAGAGCUCUCUCAUAGGAACCCUGUCUUGCCGGCCAUCUUUUGAUUUUUGGCUCUGGAAUUCUACUCGCUCUGAUUGUGGAAUGUUUGCCGGGUGGGGGUGGGGUGAUGUGGGAAUGGCCACAGGGCACUCCUUUAGGAGCCAUAUAGGGACCUGGGGUGUCGGGAGGAGAUGGAUGGCAGGAGACCUGGGGUAUCUGUGUCUCUCUGGUUGUUGCAUGCAGAGUAGUCAGCCAUGGUACCCAUGGUCUCUCAUGGCUGGGGGUUUGCCUUCUCUCCUAACCGUGGUUCCUAACCCAAGGGUUCAGGUUUAGAUUCUGGCUGCUGCAAAGCCUGGGGGAAACAGAGGUGCCAGUUAAAACUCAAGGCUAGCCAAACUUGGUGGCAUGCAUCUUUUGUCCCAGGUCUGGGGAGGCAGAGGCAAGCAAAUCUCUGUGAGUUCCGGGCCAGCCUAGGCUACCUGGUGAAUCGCUGUCCCAAAAAAAA